Molecule: ribosomal RNA, 254 nt
Filed under: uncultured bacterium
Lineage: Bacteria
Description: partial 16S ribosomal RNA
Rfam family: Bacterial small subunit ribosomal RNA
Source: RNAcentral
UACGUAGGGUGCGAGCGUUAAUCGGAAUUACUGGGCGUAAAGCGUGCGCAGGCGGUCUGUUAAGACCGAUGUGAAAUCCCCGGGCUUAACCUGGGAACUGCAUUGGUGACUGGCAGGCUUUGAGUGUGGCAGAGGGAGGUAGAAUUCCACGUGUAGCAGUGAAAUGCAUAGAGAUGUGGAGGAAUACCGAUGGCGAAGGCAGCCUCCUGGGCCAACACUGACGCUCAUGCACGAAAGCGUGGGGAGCAAACAGG